RNA transcript from Girardinichthys multiradiatus, 1207 nucleotides. It is a transcript of the gene named zinc finger BED domain-containing protein 4-like, with no coding region annotated. The record is from RefSeq and is a predicted model, not a curated record. Lineage: Eukaryota; Metazoa; Chordata; Actinopteri; Cyprinodontiformes; Goodeidae. The transcript is spliced from 2 exons.
CAGGACAACAACAGCCACAGCAAAGCUAAAAUUUACCCAACAGAUGGGCAUGCCUGAGCUUAAGCCCAAACAAGACUGUAUUACUAGGUGGAACUCCACCUUUCACAUGCUAAAACGAAUCCUGGAAUCCAAGGAUGCAGUCAUCUCAACUCUUGCUAUUAUCAAUGCACCUGUUGAUCCUCUGAGCCCAGAGGAAUGGGAGAUGACGCAAGAAGCAUGCACUGUUCUGGAGCCAUUCGAGUAAGUCAUGGUGGAGAUCAGUGCAGACAGCCAUGUUACAGCCUCUAAGAUGCUCAUCCUGUGUAAAGGGCAUGCAGAGAGUGUCAGCUGAGCACCAGACCAGAGUAACCACAGGGAAAGUGAAAGAGCUAGUGGAUGCUCUCUGCGCAUCCAUGGACAGAAAGUUCCACAGAAAGGAAUAUAACACUGUUCUGUCAGAAACCACAAUUCUUGAUCCAAGAUUCAAAAAGCUGGCCUUUAAUGACAACAGAACAGUUGAUGAAGCUCUUCAGAGAAUAACUGCAGCAGCAGCAAGGUUCAGCCAGUCAACUCCACUGCCAGGGGGCCAUGAGGGAGAAGAGGCAGCAGAGCACGAACAAGAGGAGCCACAAGCAUCUGCUGUUUGGAGGUUCUUUGAAGAGCGAGCAACUGGAGACACAACAAGAAGGAAUCCCUCAUCAGAUGCAAUAAUGGAAGUGAGAUCCUAUCUUGAGGAGCCCCUUUUCCAGAGGAUUGCAGAUCCACUGAGCUGGUGGGCUACCAAGAGUUCAGUCUACCCACGUCUUACACGCGUGAUGGCACGGAGACUGUGCAUUGUUGCAACAUCUGUCCCCUCAGAGAGAAUCUUCUCUAAAACAGGGCAGAUAAUUACUGAUAGAAGAAACCGGAUCAGCACCUCAAAGCUCAGACAGUUGGUUUUUCUGAAUGCCAAUCUUUACUAAAGAUUGCUAAUGACUAAAUAUGUAUACCUGCUGGAUGCAGCUUUUUUCUUUUUGUUUUGCAUAUUUCAAUUUAUAUUUUGUUCGCUAUAUUCUGUUCAUUGUAAAUAGUUCAAAGUGUUUUGGCUAAUUUUUGAAUAAAAGGAGUUUUGACUUUGUUUUGUUUUGUAUUUGGUUAGAUCAAUGAUAAUUGUUUGUUUUGUCUGACUGAGAUGUUUGUUUUUAUAUUUAACAUUUUAUUGUAUAUUUAUUUUAUACGUUUUGUCAUA